UACGGAGGAUCCGAGCGUUAUCCGGAUUUAUUGGGUUUAAAGGGUGCGCAGGCGGGAGAUUAAGUCGGAGGUGAAAUUUUGCAGCUCAACUGUAAAAGUGCCUUCAAAACUGGUUUCCUUGAGUGUAGAUGAAGUAGGCGGAAUUUGUGGUGUAGCGGUGAAAUGCUUAGAUAUCACGAGGAACUCCGAUUGCGCAGGCAGCUUACUAAACUACUACUGACGCUCAGGCACGAAGGCGUGGGGAUCAAACAGGAUUAGAUACCCGGGUAGUCCCU
RNAcentral lists this ribosomal RNA (275 nucleotides) under uncultured prokaryote. RNAcentral describes it as "partial 16S ribosomal RNA". It matches the Rfam family "Bacterial small subunit ribosomal RNA", at positions 524 to 798 of the family's 1533-position model. The record is from RNAcentral.